This is a long non-coding RNA of Gavialis gangeticus (Gharial), 1680 nucleotides long. RefSeq lists it as uncharacterized. Lineage: Eukaryota; Metazoa; Chordata; Crocodylia; Gavialidae. The transcript is spliced from 3 exons. The record is from RefSeq and is a predicted model, not a curated record.
ACACGUCUGGGUUACUAUUUAAAAUGUAACCUGUGUCAGGGACCUAAGGGAGGGAAAUCAAAGAGUUAUGACGCCUUGCAUGGUUAAGUGUUUGAAAGUUUUUUCAGGUCAGUUUGCUGCAAGCGGUAUUUUUGUUGCAAAUCAUCUGGUCUUUUAGUGUGAGUUAAUAAGUCAAUUUAUGGUGGUAGUAGAUUUAUUUGAAUGUGGGAUGAGUUUACCCACAGGAAAGCAGGUGUGGAUGCCUCCCCAUUGCAAAACUGUUGAAUAUCUGUCAAGUCCUCCCACUGCUUUCCCCCUCUACUUUACUGGAUUGCCUACAUUAAAUUCUUGCAUGACAUUUAUUUUCUCUGGGGUUAUUCUGGCUGGAUUUUACAUUGCAAUGUAAAUUGCAUUGCACAGCCAGCAUCUGUCCUUCAUGAUUCCAGCAUGUGUGGAGCUCAGAUACCUGUGUCAUAUUCCUAGUUAAUAAUUGCUGAGUAGUGAUACUGAAGCAUGAGGCUGGUCUUGUGCUGAAGUCCUUGAUUUUAUUUCCCUAAGGGAAGAGGAGCAUGUAUAGGCAUAGCUGAAUUUUAGUUAUUUAAUACACAAAUAUGCUAUGGCUCUCUCUCAAAAUGAAGAAGUGACUCACAAAGAGCAUCUUCUGCUAGAUAUAAUGGAUAACAGUUAAACUUUGAGGAGCUAGACUGGACUGUUGCAUUUGAUGGACACCAUCAAAGAAAAUCCUCUCAAGAGCAUCUAGGAGAGGGAUACUGAACACUGAUCUUGUUGCCCUGGAGAUCCAAAGGAAGUAGCAGACUUGCAGGCUCAGGAUCUGUCUGAAUCACACCCUCAUCAUUAACUGUGCCACAGCUGGAGACUGUGGGAUCACACCUGAAUCUUUCUGUGCCUUUUUGAAGAUGUUCCUCAGGGUAACCUACUCCAAAAUAAAGAAAGUCUGCAGAAAUGCACAUGCCAGCACAAGCACCAGUUGACGCCUUUGGAUAACAGAUGAAAUGUCUGUUCAACCUAUGUUGGAAGAAGAGGAGUUCAAAUGAUGACACAUUCAAAGAACUUGAGCUCAUCCAAAGAGAGGGAUAGAAAGAAAGGUGUAGAAAAGAUUAUGGCCUAAAGUAUGAGGAGAGGGAAAAGGACAGAAACUAGAAAUAACUGCAGGGGUUGACAGAGUGAAAAACAAAUGUCCGGGAGAAGAAGCCAGAGCCUUCAUACCAGUCCCUUAUCUCUGUAUUGUUGGACACACCAUUCAGUGCAACAUCACCUAGCAAUGGGACUUCUCAAGGCAUUCUAGACUACAGGACAAUAAAGAAAUGCUGUAUGACAACAGGUAGGGACAAGCCAUUCAACCAGCAUCCCACACCCUUAAAAUGCCGAAAACAGUUUUAAAAACCCUAUGUAUGCCUAAUUGUGACCCUAAAGUAAAAGUCUUGCGUCCACAUUAGCUUUUCACUUUCCUUUCUAUAAUGUUCAGAUCAGUUUGUAUGCUCAACUAUUUUACUCAUGAUAAAGUUAGAAAAGUCUGUAUCCAUUAUUAAUAAGCAUUAUUAUGUGUGAAAUAACUUUCCUCUUACCUUUGCAUACACCCUCUUAAAAUAUCAUAAUACAAGCCAUGUCCCACAGUAGUUACAUAGUAGCACAUGUGCUAAGACAAUGAAUAAAGUGUGGAACACUUGUAAACAAUAUGUA